RNAcentral lists this ribosomal RNA (1122 nucleotides) under bacterium. RNAcentral's name for it is "bacterial SSU rRNA". It matches the Rfam family "Bacterial small subunit ribosomal RNA", at positions 429 to 1533 of the family's 1533-position model. The record is from RNAcentral.
ACUGCUGUCACGCUAUAGGAACCCAUGGUCGUUAAUAGCGGCCGUGCUGACCAAAGCGAGAGGAAGCGCCGGCUAACUCCGUGCCAGCAGCCGCGGUAAUACGGAGGGCGCAAGCGUAGUUCGGAUUUACUGGGCAUAAAGAGCACGUAGGCGGCUCGCUCAGUCAGGUGUGAAAGCCCACGGCUCAACCGUGGAACUGCACCUGAUACUGGCGAGCUUGAGGACGGAAGGGGUGAGUGGAACUCCAGGUGGAACGGUGAAAUGUAUAGAUAUCUGGAGGAACACCGGUGGCGAAAGCGGCUCACUGGUCCGUCUCUGACGCUGAGGUGCGAAAGCUAGGGUAGCGAACGGGAUUAGAUACCCCGGUAGUCCUAGCCGUAAACGAUGGGCACUAGGCAAUGGGCCCUCCUAUGAGGUUCAUUGCCGGAGCUAAUGUGUUAAGUGCCCCGCCUGGGGAGUACGCUCGCAAGGGUAAAACUCAAAGGAAUUGACGGGGGAUCACACAAGCAGUGGAGCAUGUUGUUUAAUUCGAAGCAACGCGAAGAACCUUACCAGGCCUUGACAUGUGCGGAUUAGCUGCGUGAAAGCGUAGUGACGGCUCUUCGGAGUUGGAACGUACACAGGUGUUGCAUGGCUGUCGUCAGCUCGUGCCGUGAGGUGUUGGGUUAAGUCCCGUAACGAGCGAAACCCUUAUUGUUAGUUGCCAGCGGGUUAUGCCGGGGACUCUAGCGAGACUGCCGUUGUCAAAACGGAGGAAGGUGGGGACGACGUCAAGUCAUCAUGGCCCUUAUGGCCUGGGCUACAAACGUGCUACAAUGGUCCGUACAAUGGGUUCCGAAGCCGCGAGGUGUAGGCAAUCCCAUCAAAGCGGGCCCCAGUUCGGAUUGCAGGCUGAAAUUCGCCUGCAUGAAGCCGGAAUUGCUAGUAAUCGCGUAUCAGCCACGACGCGGUGAAUAUGUUCCUGAUCCUUGUACACACCGCCCGUCAAGCCACGGAAGCGGGUAGCGCUCGAAGUCGUUUUGUCUAACCUUCGGGAGGACGACGCCGAAAGCGAGAUCCGUGACUGGGACUAAGUCGUAACAAGGUAGCCGUAGGGGAACCUGCGGCUGGAUCACCUCCUUU